CCUACGGGAGGCUGCAGUGGGGAAUAUUGCGCAAUGGGCGAAAGCCUGACCCAGCAACGCCGCGUGAGGGAAGAAGGCUUUCGGGUUGUAAACUUCUAUUCUCAGGGACGAAGAAAGUGCCGGUACCUGAGGAAUAAGCCACGGCUAACUACGUGCCAGCAGCCCCGGUAAUACGUAGGUGGCAAGCGUUAUCCGGAUUUACUGGGUGUAAAGGGCGUGUAGGCGGGACUGCAAGUCAGAUGUGAAAACCACGGGCGCAACCUGUGGCCUGCAUUUGAAACUGUAGUGCUUGAGUACUGGAGAGGCAGACGGAAUUCCUAGUGUAGCGGUGAAAUGCGUAGAUAUUAGGAGGAACACCAGUGGCGAAGGCGGUCUGCUGGACAGCAACUGACGCUGAGGCGCGAAAGCGUGGGGAGCAAACAGGAUUAGAUACCCCUGUAGUC
This 443-nucleotide ribosomal RNA is filed under the name uncultured bacterium. RNAcentral's name for it is "partial 16S ribosomal RNA". It matches the Rfam family "Bacterial small subunit ribosomal RNA", at positions 338 to 795 of the family's 1533-position model. The record is from RNAcentral.